RNAcentral lists this ribosomal RNA (88 nucleotides) under Salmonella enterica. Its description in RNAcentral is "partial 23S ribosomal RNA". The record is from RNAcentral. RNAcentral also lists the same sequence under 3 other names. Lineage: Bacteria; Pseudomonadati; Pseudomonadota; Gammaproteobacteria; Enterobacterales; Enterobacteriaceae.
GGGUUGUGAGGUUAAGCGACUAAGCGUACACGGUGGAUGCCCUGGCAGUCAGAGGCGAUGAAGGGCGUGCUAAUCUGCGAUAAGCGCC